CCUACGGGUGGCAGCAGUGAGGAAUAUUGGUCAAUGGGCGUAAGCCUGAACCAGCCAAGUCGCGUGAGGGAUGAAGGUUCUAUGGAUCGUAAACCUCUUUUAUAAGGGAAUAAAGUGCGGGACGUGUCCCGUUUUGUAUGUACCUUAUGAAUAAGGAUCGGCUAACUCCGUGCCAGCAGCCGCGGUAAUGCGGAGGAUCCGAGCGUUAUCCGGUUUUAUUGGGUUUAAAGGGUCCGUAGGCGGCCUUUUAAGUCAGGGGUGAAAGUCCGUGGCUCAACCAUGGAAUUGCCGUUGAAACUGGGUGGCUUGAGUAGGUGUGAGGCAGGCGGAAUGCGUGGUGUAGCGGUGAAAUGCGUAGAUAUCACGCAGAACCCCGAUUGCGAAGGCAGCCUGCCAAGCCAUGACUGACGCUGAGGCACGAAAGCGUGGGGAUCAAACAGGAUUAGAUACCCUGGUAGUC
This 460-nucleotide ribosomal RNA is filed under the name uncultured bacterium. Its description in RNAcentral is "partial 16S ribosomal RNA". It matches the Rfam family "Bacterial small subunit ribosomal RNA", at positions 338 to 795 of the family's 1533-position model. The record is from RNAcentral.